Molecule: ribosomal RNA, 253 nt
Filed under: uncultured bacterium
Lineage: Bacteria
Description: partial 16S ribosomal RNA
Rfam family: Bacterial small subunit ribosomal RNA
Source: RNAcentral
UACAGAGGCCUCGAGCGUUAAUCGGAAUCACUGGGCUUAAAGGGUGCGUAGGCGGCGCUGCAAGUGCCUUGUGAAAUCCCAUCGCUUAACGAUGGAACUGCUCGGUAGACUGCAGUGCUUGAGGUUGGUAGGGGCUGCCAGAACUCUAGGUGGAGCGGUGAAAUGCGUAGAUAUCAGGAGGAACACCGAUGGCGAAGGCAGGUCUCUGGGCAUUAACUGACGCUGAGGAGCGAAAGCAUGGGGAGCGAACAGG